CAAAAACAUUGCCUAUUGAAUUUAUAGUAGGUCCAUCCUGCCCAGUGAUAAUUUUAUUCAACGGCCGCGGUACCCUGACCGUGCAAAGGUAGCAUAAUCAUUUGCCUUUUAAUUGGAGGCUAGUAUGAACGGACAAACGAGAAUUUAGCUGUCUCACAGAAACGCCUAAAAUCUAAUAAUCAGGUGAAGAAGCCUGAAUAAUAAUAAAGGACAAGAAGACCCUAUUGAGCUCUACUGCUAACAAUCCGUAUUCAUAACAUCUAUAAAUUAGGCCAACUUAGCAGUUUGGUUGGGGCGACCUUUGAUCACUUAAAACAUCUUAUAAUUACCCGGGCCACUCCCCGCUAAAUCCCGCAUGGAAAUUGAAUUAGCUACCAUAGGGAUAACAGGCUAAUCUUACUAGAGAGCUCAAAUUGACAGUAAGGGUUGGCACCUCGAUGUUGGCUUAGUGUAUCCCUUAAGUGCAGCAGCUUAAAACGGUCGGUUUGUUCAACCGUUAAAACACUACGUGAUCUGAGUUCAGACCGGA
Molecule: ribosomal RNA, 529 nt
Filed under: Ceratocephale cf. loveni EB-65
Lineage: Eukaryota; Metazoa; Annelida; Polychaeta; Phyllodocida; Nereididae
Description: partial 16S ribosomal RNA
Rfam family: Bacterial large subunit ribosomal RNA
Source: RNAcentral